This 242-nucleotide ribosomal RNA is filed under the name uncultured bacterium. Its description in RNAcentral is "partial 16S ribosomal RNA". It matches the Rfam family "Bacterial small subunit ribosomal RNA", at positions 678 to 916 of the family's 1533-position model. The record is from RNAcentral.
GCGGUGAAAUGCGUAGAUAUCGAGAGGAACACCUGCGGCGAAGGCGGGUUGCUGGGCUGACACUGACGCUGAUUGUGCGAAAGCUAGGGGAGCGAACGGGAUUAGAUACCCCGGUAGUCCUAGCCUUAAACGAUGAAUGCUUGGUGUCUGGGGUUUUAUAGUCCCCGGGUGCCGUCGCUAACGCUUUAAGCAUUCCGCCUGGGGAGUACGGUCGCAAGACUGAAACUCAAAUGAAUUGACGG